AUAUUUAUUGGCAGGGGAGAUUCCAGGAUCUCGAAGGUGGUUUUCUCAGUGAGGCUCACCCAUUGUACUCCGGGUCUGCUGACCCCUGUGAUUUCUCCAAAUGUGCAAACUUGACUACGUAAUCUGUGGUUGUGGGGAACUGCAUUCACAUUCACCCCAU
Molecule: small nuclear RNA, 160 nt
Organism: Pipistrellus kuhlii (Kuhl's pipistrelle)
Lineage: Eukaryota; Metazoa; Chordata; Mammalia; Chiroptera; Vespertilionidae
Product: U1 spliceosomal RNA
Exons: 1
Source: RefSeq, a predicted model, not a curated record